This 229-nucleotide long non-coding RNA is filed under the name Mytilus galloprovincialis (Mediterranean mussel). The record is from RNAcentral. Lineage: Eukaryota; Metazoa; Mollusca; Bivalvia; Mytilida; Mytilidae.
GUAAUAUGGUCAGCUGAUCAAAAGUUAUGGUAAUACAUACUAGAAGAUCAGUGAAUACUCUUCGAAAGUGAUCAACCUAAAAUGUUCUUUUUUGUUAUUGGUGCAUAAGCUACGAAAUAUAUAGCAAAUAAAAUAUGAUUUUUGUGUUGUUAAGUCAUUAAUUAUAAUGAAAUUAGAAUUCACUUUUAGCAGGCAAUCUCACUGGUUCUAUUUUGUUAAAUAUGCUGAG